AAAGAAUUGUCCUACUUUUAAUUAGGAUAGUUUUAUAUGAAAAAAAAGGUAUGGCCUCUUCAUGCUGCGUCGUGCUUUAUUUUUGAAUGGGCCCCAAUCCAAGAGAAAUUUAACCUGUGCUAUUUUUUCUCUUACUUAGGCCGCUGUGCCCACUGAGAGCUGCAGUGCAGGUGCAUUGUGUCGGGUUGGCUAAUAAAAAAUGAAUGCCUUUGUACAUAGUGGCAAUAUUUUUGGCUACCCCUUGUAGAUAUCCAUCCAAAUCAUCAUCAUAAAAAGUUCUUAUACCUAGGCCACUCCAACACCUAAAGCCAAAAUAACUAGCGUAGGCUAUAUUUCUAAAAGUAUCUGAAACAACUCUUUCUGCCCACAGAUCCUGCUAAGAGACUUCGGCAAAUAAGGCUAAAUCUUACAUAUUCUUCAUUUUCUCCUAGACAGGUUGUAUUUGAGUUGCUGCUCACAUCUUCUUUUUUGUUUCCAUUAAUCAAUGACUUUACUUGCAUUUGGCCUCCGUUAUCAAAUUACUGAAUUAAGUGGUACCUCAUGGCAACCAAGUAGACCACAAAAAAACAUUUGUCCAAUGAUGGUUGGAAAACCAUGAAAAGUGUCUAGUUGGUUGCUAUGGGGAAAGCCAUAAUUCACUGUGAUAUUUCCAGUAGCAUACUUACCAAAUUUUAGGUUGCCCCCAAACCACCUGCUUGCAGGAAUUGCUGCACAAAGCCUACCUUACCCACCCACUCACAGCCUGCAAUCACCAUAAUGACUGCCUUAUUGAGUUACUGCACAUGCGUGAUAACUCAAGCAAGAGUGAUCCCAGGACAUUGCCAAGGACACAGUAUUGUCGGGACUGAGGUCCAAAAUGCAGGACUGUCCCAACAAUCUGGAACAGUUGGCCAGCAAAAGAUCAUUAGGCCUCAAUCAUUAACCUGAAGCAAUGUGUUUGUGUUGCCUAUGGUGACCAAUCAAAUUUUAAAUACUAUUUUUCUACUGCAGUUAAGCCCCCUAUUCACACCUAAGCAAUUUGUCAAACAUUUCCUAAAGAGAAAACAUGAUCAACAUGAGCUUUCCUAUAAGUCAAUGCCACCUGUUCACACCUGAGCGUCAUGCCGCCCCAUGUAAAUGAGUUUUUUUCACACAUAAUUGUGCAUUCUUGACCCCAAAUACUGCAACAAAACUACUUAAAUAUGCACAACAGAAGCAUUUUAGCACACUUGUAGUGCAUUUUUGCAUCCAACGUUCAUCCUACUAGUGAGGACCCACAAGAAGCCCUGUGGUGAGGAGGCAAUAUAACACCGAUUCACCGCCUGUCCAAUGCCCUUUAAAGAGUGAUCCAAUACAAUGUAUGGGUAAAUGAGGCCUAAAGUUGUUCCGAAGGAAAGUGGGGAUUAGUGCGCAGCCUUUCUUGAGAUACAGAAACAUAUUGAUAUCACAGAUUAUAUGUUUUUUCCACUGGCCAAAACAAAAUGUACAUGAAACAAUGCAUGUUACGUGCAACAAAAGCGCACAAAAAAAUCUUUAAAAUCCCCUGAAAACGCUCACGCUCAGGUGUGAAUUGGGACCAAGAACAAUAAAAGCCAACUGGUCUCCAUAACAACACAGGCCCAUUUCCCUUCCUUUGGUCCCAAAGAUUUUGCGCACCUCAUCCUUGCCCCUUGUUACCCGCCAACCGCCUCACAAAAUGGCCACCAAGGGCAGUUUCCCCUGUUUUAUACACUCAGCACCCUUGCUAUGCCCUGCGCACAAUACCGAGCAUCGAGGGAGUUUGCAAUAAUAUGUGUGUGUGAGUGCUUGCGUGGUUACGUGUAGAAGUGCACGCAGUGUGCAUGAGUCCAGCUGCCUGUUGUGUGCAUGCACAGAACUAAAAAGAGUUCUACGAAUAGGCAAAUAACUGUAAAUAUCUAAUUUUAUACGGGGGAGAAAACAACCCUGUCGAUAGCGCAGGGCGUUUAUGAGAGAAAAAACAAAAAAAAACGAUCUAUGUGAAAACCUAUUUUCUGUUACAUUAUUUAGUAGUUUAUGCCGUAUGAACUAUUGUCGGUGAUUUACUGGUGAAGAGGUAUACUAUGAUAUCACCCAAGUUUAUUGUUGAAUGUUUCACCUUUGAACACAACACUGUAUGCCAUGGCUCACGUACACAUGUAUAUUUUAUGUAUAUGGGGGUUGUGAUCAAUCACAGUGCACUUGUGACCUUCACAGAGUCCCGGUGGCCAUUUUGUAGGCUGAAGCACUCACAACAGGCUUUUAGUCAUUCGCUAGGCCUCAAUAUCCUUGACGACGGUGGAGCUCUCAAAUUGGCCACCGAGCUGUGCUGUGCUAGGAGGACCGGUGCACUUUAAAUACAUUAAAAUGAAAAAGGAAUAAAAAAAGAACUUUAAACAAGGAAUCACUGGAAGUUUUAAAUUUGUGACCUGGAUUCCAGAGUUGAAUAGAAUUGUAUUCUUAUUUGAUAUGCUGCUAAGUUAUAUAUAAAAAAAAAAUCAAGUGUACUUUGAUAUAAAUAGGACUAUUUCUGUAUAUAAAGUAUGUACACGUAUAUGUUAGCAAUACUAACAUGGAGUGUAUGUUUCUAUGAGGAUUUACAGUGAGAUUUGUGACAAGAGAUGAAGAAAGCCUGUAUUAAAUAAAGUCGAGUCAUUUUGGGAAA
Rana temporaria (common frog) is the source of this 2641-nucleotide long non-coding RNA. RefSeq lists it as uncharacterized. NCBI's taxonomy places the organism in Eukaryota, Metazoa, Chordata, Amphibia, Anura, Ranidae. The transcript is spliced from 2 exons. The record is from RefSeq and is a predicted model, not a curated record.